RNAcentral lists this long non-coding RNA (818 nucleotides) under Homo sapiens (human). RNAcentral describes it as "HSALNT0055893". Lineage: Eukaryota; Metazoa; Chordata; Mammalia; Primates; Hominidae. The record is from RNAcentral.
CCCCCAUGGAUCUAGGUGAGGACAGGCGCUCCUGCUUUCCCGCCCAAAUGUUGUAUUUUCCAAGCCUACCCUUGCCGGCCACGCCCCCAACCUGGGCCUAUAAAAACCGCCCCCCGCAGGCCCUAGCGGGCAGACACACUGAAGUCGCUAGACAUUUGAGGAACACAUCCGGGGAAGAAGACACAGGUGGCUGGUCAUGGAGAGCCCGCUGGGGGAAGAGCACACAGACAGGCACCGGCAGGCCAUUGACCAGCGGGACAAGGUGGGCUCAAUGUCAUCACAAGGGUGCUUAAGAGGGAAAGAGGAAGCCAUGAGGGUCAGAGUCAAAGGAAGACUUGAAGAUACUACACUGCGGACUUUAAAGAUGAAGGAAGGGGCGAAAACCAAGAAUGUGGGAAGCCUCUAGAAGCUAGAGAAGGCAAGGAAACAAAUUUUCCACUAGAGCCUCCAGAAGGAACACAGCCCUGCUGACCCACUGUAAUGUCUGACCUCUAGAUGUGUAAGGGUAGUAAGACUGAAAGUCUCAGAAAGGCACUGUUAAAUUCUUAUUCCUCAACUAUGCAACUCAAAACUGGGGUCCUCAGCAGUGAGCGAGGGGUGAGAGAAGACACUGUAUAAACAUGGCACAUCCUCCUGGAAAGUCAACUUUACUCAAAGGUUCUUACACACAGUGACAGCUAGCAGAGUCUAAAAUGCUGACAUUAUGACUUAGAGAUGUGAUAAAGAGAAACAUCUAUUGCAUUUUCUGUUGGGAACAUGACCUAAUGGUGUGCUACCAUGCAGCUCUUUCCAGCUCCAUGUUCAGUGACUUCAUAUUG